GCCCAGGAAGCAAAGCGCCUGCGCGCUUUGCGGGAGGCCUCGAAAGGCCUGGCUUGCAAGCCAGGCCGGGGUCGCGCCGGCGUGACCGAGUCCCCUCCUGGGCACCA
This 107-nucleotide transfer RNA is filed under the name Burkholderia sp. Cy-647. Its description in RNAcentral is "tRNA-Ser". The record is from RNAcentral. RNAcentral also lists the same sequence under 2 other names. Lineage: Bacteria; Pseudomonadati; Pseudomonadota; Betaproteobacteria; Burkholderiales; Burkholderiaceae.